Molecule: long non-coding RNA, 1857 nt
Filed under: Cricetulus griseus (Chinese hamster)
Lineage: Eukaryota; Metazoa; Chordata; Mammalia; Rodentia; Cricetidae
Description: lncRNA (ENSCGRG00015039444.1)
Source: RNAcentral
GGGGAGGUACCUCAGAUUUCGAAAUAUUCAAAAUGCCAUCAGGACACCGCCCACCCCCAAAUUAAUCUUACAGUGAUGGAGUUGAAGCAUGGGGGCUUAUGGGUGGUCCAGGAAGCCUCCAGGGAUAAAUAGGGAUUGGUCUGGAAGUGUUGAAACUGAGAUGGGCCAAUGAGGAGGCUGGAGAUAAGGAGGGCAGGACAGAUUUGGGGUAGCAAGAAGUCCUGUGCUCUGCUCUGAGGCCUGCCUUCAGGAGGCAGGACUGUUGGGACUUGGACUGGGAUACAAGGAAGGCCCAUGGCUGGGGAGGAUGGAUGUUGAGAAGUCUAUGCUGCUGGUCACCACUCACUGCUCCUUAAGCAUCUCUAAGACGCCAGGCUGGAUGUGGAGAGGAGUGGAGGGGUUGUAGACAGCAGCCCCCAGCCCUCUUUGGCACUUGCCACUGUGCGGCACUGUGGGACCCCAGCCUGUAAAUGAUGCCCGAUGCCAGUCCUCCUCAGCUUGGACGGUGGGGGGACCCGGGUGGGGUCAUGACAGGACACCACUGCCUGGGGGUGAGAAUGGAGGAGGCCCAGCUGUCAGCUGGAACCCAUCAGAAGCCGAACCAAGCCCUGGCAGCUGGGCCUGGGCUGGGGACUGACAGAGAUGAACAAGUGGACGUGGCACAGUUUUUGGUGGCCUUUGAGGACAUGCACAUGGCCUCCAUGGGUAGUUGACCAGAGUUCUCCCCGGGAAGAAUAAGAUUCCUUUCGACUCUGCUGAGGAAGGAAGCCUCAUAGGAGAGAUGGUGCCAUAGUGAGGUCUUGAAGGAUGAUGGUAAACUCAAUAGGUAGUGAUGGGAGAAGGCCUGGAGGUAAGAAGGCAAAAACCAUGCUGGGUGAACUCUGCAAGGAGCAGAAGACUUAUGUGCAUGGGAAAUAAAGUUGGAAAAUGGGUUCAAGUUGAAUGAGCACAGAUGAACACUGAAAUACAACUCUUUCCUAUGGGUAAUGGGGAGCCACCGAUGGUUGUUGAGCAAGAGUAUCCUGCAGGGAGAGGAAACUGAUGCGUUACUUUAGUUUCUCUCCAUAACAGCAUCAGUGGCAGGCAGGCCGGGAACCUUCCAUGGUCUAGGUUAUAAAAUCCACUGAGUGAGGGAGCUAGGAGAAUGAGAAGGGGAGAAGAGGAGGGGUGAGGAGGAAAUGAGGGAGCAGGAAGGUUGAGUUGGGGGAAGAAUAGAGGAGAGCAAGAAAAGAGAUACCAUAAUAGAAGGAGAAGUUAUAGGCUUAAAGAGAAAUCAGGCACUAGGGAAAUGUCCAGAGAUCUACAAGGAUGAUACCAACUAACCAUCUAAGCAACAGUGGAGAGGCUUCCUUAAAUGCCCUUCUCUGAUAAUGAGAUUGAUGACUACUUUAUAUGCCAUCCUAGAGCCUUCAUCCAACAGCUGAUGGAAGCAGAAGCAGACACCCACAGCUAAACACUGAACUGAACUGGAACCCAGUUGCAGAGAGGGAGGAGUGAUGAGCAAAGAGGUCAAGACCAGGCUGGUGAAACCCACAGAAACAGCUGACCUGAACAAGGGGGAGCUCAUGAACCCCAGACUGAUAGCUGGGAAACCAGCAUAGGACUAAUCCAGAUUCCAUGAACAUGGUUAUCAUUCAGGAGGCCUCAGAAAUCUAUGGGUCCUCUGGUAGUAGAUCAGUAUUUAUCCCUAGCAUACGAAUGAGUUUUGGGAACCCAUUCCACAUAGUGGGAUACUCUCUCAGCCUAGACACAGGGGGGAGGACCCAGGCCCUAUCCCAAAGGAUAUGACAGACUCUGAAGAGCCUCCAUGGAAGGCCUCACCCUCCCUCAGGAGCAGAAAGGGUAUGGGAUAGGGAG